GGUUGGAUUGGAAAGGUCCUUGAAGGUCACAGAAUCAUAGAAUGAUUGGGUUGGAUUGGAAAGGUCCUUAAAGAUCACCGAACCAUGGAAUGGUCAGGUUGGAUUGGAAAGGUCCUUAAAGAUCACAGAACCAUGGAAUGGUCUGGUUGGAUUGGAAAGGUCCUUGCAGGUCAGAGAACCACGCAAUGGUCAGGUUGGAUUGGAAAGAUCCUGGAAGGUCACAGAACCAUGGAAUGGUCAGGUUGGAUUGGAAAGGUCCUCGAAGGUCACAGAACCACGCAAUGGUCAGGUUGGAUUGGAAAGGUCCUUGAAGAUCACAGAAGCAUGGAAUGGUUGGGUUGGAUUGGAAAGGUCCUUAAAGAUCACAGAAGCAUGGAAUGGUUGGGUUGGAUUGGAAAGGUCCUGGAAGGUCACAGAACCAUGGAAUGGUCGGGUUGGGUUGGAAAGGUCCUGGAAGGUCACAGAACCACGCAAUGGUCAGGUUGGAUUGGAAAGAUCCUGGAAGGUCACAGAACCAUGGAAUGGUCAGGUUGGAUUGGAAAGGUCCUCAAAGAUCACCGAACCAUGGAAUGGUCAGGUUGGAUUGGAAAGGUCCUGGAAGGUCACAGAACCAUGGAAUGGUCUGGUUGGAUUGGAAAGGUCCUUAAAGAUCACAGAACCAUGGAAUAGUGGGACUGGAUUGGAAAGGUCCUUGAAGGUCACAGAAUCAUACAAUGGUCCUUCAAAAUCAAAGAACCAUGGAAUAGUGGGAUUGGACUGGAAAGGUCCUUAAAGAUCACAGAACGAUGGAAUGGUUGGGCUGGGUUGGAAAGGUCCUGGAAGGCCACAGAAUCAUAGAAUGGAUGGGUGCAAUCGGAAAGGUCCUUGCAGGUCACAGAACCAUGGAAUGGUUCGGCGCCGCGGGAGCCGAGCGAUGGCGGCGGCAGCGUCCCCACCCGGACACAGGGCACCGGGGCACAACGUGCGUCCGUCUGUCCUGCCUGUCUCAUCUGUCUGUCCAUCCUGUCCAUCCUGUCCGUCUGUCUGUCCUGUCCGUUCCUCUGUCCGACCUUCCUGUCUGUCCUGUCCGUUCCUCUGUCCGUCCAUCCUGUCUGUCUUGUCCGUUCCUCUGUCCAGCCUGUCUUGUCUCUCUGUCUGUCCUGCCCAGCUGUCCUGUCCGUCCCUCUGUCUGUCCUGACUCUGUCCAUCUGUCCUGUCCGUCUGUCUUGUCCAUCCUGUCUCGCCUCUCUGUCUGCCCUGUCCGUCCUGUCCGUCCCGUCUGUCUUGUCCAUCUGUCCUGUCUGGCUGCCUUGUCCAUCCCAUCUGUCCUGUCCGUUCUGUCCAUCCUGUCUGACUCUGUCUGUCCGUCCUGUCCGUCUGUCCUGUCCCUCCUGUCCGUCCUGUCUGCCUGUCCUGCCUACCUGUCCUGUCCAUCCCACCCAUCCUGUCCGUCCUGUCUGUCUUGUCUGUCUGUCCUGUCUGUCCAUCCUGUCCACCCCAUCUGUCCUGUCCGUCCUGUCCAUCCUGUCUGUCUGUCCGUCUUGUCCGUCUGUCCUGACCGUUCUGUCCAUCCUGUCUGCCUUUCCUGCCUAUAUCUGCCCUGUCCAUCCCACCCAUCCUGCCCAUCCUGUCCAUCCCGUCUUGUCUGUCUGUCCUGUCUGUCUUGUCUGUCUGUCCUGACCGUUCUGUCCAUCCUGUCUGCCUGUCCUGCCUAUCUCUCCUGUCCAUCCUGCCCAUCCUGUCCGGCCUGUCUAUCUUGUCUCUCUGUCUGCCCUGUCCGUCUGUCCAUCCUGUCUCCGUCCGUCCUGUCCGUCCUGUCCGUCUGUCUGCCUCCCUGCUGCAACGCUCAUCCCCUGCUCAGAGCAGCGCUGC
This 1851-nucleotide long non-coding RNA is filed under the name Numida meleagris (helmeted guineafowl). Its description in RNAcentral is "lncRNA (ENSNMEG00000001388.1)". Lineage: Eukaryota; Metazoa; Chordata; Aves; Galliformes; Numididae. The record is from RNAcentral.